Numida meleagris (helmeted guineafowl) is the source of this 8304-nucleotide long non-coding RNA. RefSeq lists it as uncharacterized. The record is from RefSeq and is a predicted model, not a curated record. The transcript is spliced from 3 exons. Lineage: Eukaryota; Metazoa; Chordata; Aves; Galliformes; Numididae.
ACAUAAACGUAAUGAUACUACCAAAGUCAAUCAUUAAGUGCAUUGUCAUUAUAGAAUCACAGAAUCCUUAGAGAUGGAAGGGACCUUCAAAAGUCAUCUAGUCCAACUCCCCCGCAGUGAACAGGGACAUGCACAGCUAAAUCAGGCUGCCCAUUUAGCUGGGCAAAAGCAAUGGAACAGAGGUACCUGUUGAGGUACAGGUGUACGUGGUGUUUCAUACACUGCACUUAUCGUUACAGGUGGUUUGUGUGCCUUCAGCAGCCUCACGCACACUAGCCCUGCACCCGCCGGGAGCACUGCCACCGGCUGAGCGUCCUACAGGCGCUCAGACCUCUGCUGGGAGCACUUCAGCACCGUCACCGUCAGCAGCUCUGCGGACACACCGGCAGCACCUCUAUCUUACAGCCGAGGGCAAGCAGGAGGGCAGGGCUACCAGGCCGUGGGGAGGGGGUGAUGCACCGUGCUUCGCCUCGUAGAGCCAACCCUUUCAGCUGUGUAAGCCCACCAGACUGAGCGGUGGCUCAGUACGGUUCUGCACCCAGGAGGAUCCGCCAUGCAGUAUUAUCAGGAACAUACCUAGCUCUGCGUACCAGUUCUGGGUAUAGCUUCUUGCCUGUUUCACCCAGACCAUGUGGAACUGGGAUCCUGCAGUCUGGAGAAGGGGAAGGCUUGGGGGAGCCCUUAUUGCGCUGUACUACUGUCUGAAAGGAGGUUGUGGUGAGAUGGGGAUUGGUAUCUUUUCCCAGGUGACAGCGAUAGGAUGAAGAGAAAAUGACUUUGUGUUGUGGCAGGGGAGGUUCAGGCUGGAUAUUUGUAAAAAUCUCUUCUCCAGAAGACUGGUGAGGCACUGCAAAGGGCUGCCCAAGGAGAUGGUGGAGUCACGGUCCCUGGAGGUGUUCAAGAAAUGUGUAGAUGUGGCACUGAGGGACAUGGAUUAGAGGGCAUGGUGGGGAGGGGCUGAUGGCUGGACUAGGUGAUCUUAGAGGUCUUUUCGAGCCUUAAUCGUUCUGAUUUAGGUAGCACAGGACUCAAAUAAAAAGCUCGGAGAGCUAUUCCAUAAAGGCUGAGAUCCUUAUGAAAUACACUGAAGAAAAAAUAAUUUUAGUAUAUGUUCUAAUUAACAAAAGCAGAUUUACUGUCCUUCUAGCUGUAUAUAAAUUGAAAUUCAGAACGUAAAUGUUUCAUUCUCUGAUUUUACUUUCCCUUUUAGAAGGUAAACGGUAUUUUGCAUGAAAUCGGUGAGUAUGAAAAAUAAGUUUUCACAAUACCACAUGCAUUCUUCAGCAUAAAUGUUUUGCAGAUAUUUUCUCUGUAGUUUCAUGUUCAGAAAACAGGAAAAGCAAGAAGAAUGCAGUGAUUAAUAAUUGUCUGUUUUAUUGGUAAAGCUUAAAAAGUUCAGGACAUUAUAAGGGUAGAAAUUAACAUUAGGAUACAAGCAAGUCAUGCUCUGAUCUGCACAGAGUACUAUUCUUAAGCACUUCUAAACUUCUUGGUUAACUAAUGACCUUAUCAGAUACCUUCUGAAGUGGAAAAAAAAAGUGGAAGAAAUCUUUAAGAAAUAAUAGGUCUUCUGCAGAUAUAGCCUAAUUCAGUACAGUGCUAGAGCAGCUUUACAACUCAGUAGACUUGCACUGAUGUAAGUCAUGUAAUGAUAACCCUAGAAGUAGUUAUGACCAAGUUUUUCAAUACAUUAACAAUUUUUCUUAUAUUUGGUUUGAGUUGUAGGUGCUGAAGCAACAGUGAAUUUGGCUUAAUCUGCGCAUUUUGUAACUGGAAGAAAAAUAACACUUCCUCUUCAUUUGUGUGAAUCCUCAGGUGGAGUAGCAUGUCUCUACUAGCUCAUCAGCAUGUACUUGUCUUCUGGGUGUUCUACGUCCUGCCCAGAGUAAGAGUGAAGCAAGGCACAGGAGUGAUGAUUAGGGACUUGGGGGCAAUAAUUGCAGUGUUAAAGGAAAUUAGGCUUCAUUACUUACACUGAUCUAGGUGUACAUUUAACAGAUGCAAGGUCCUGCACGUGUAUUGACGUAAUAGAUCCUAGGCUCUACCUACAGGGGCAUUACUAGUAGAUAUAGAGUUGUAAUCAUCCCACUCAGUGCUUGUCAGUCUGCACCUGGAGUCCAGUUGUGGUUUCCCAGUUCAAUAAAGAUGUGGGCAGACUGGAGAGGGUCCAGAGGAGGGCCAUGAAGACGAUCAAAGGGCUGGAACACCUGGCCGUGUGGAAAGGCUGAAAGAGUUAGGUCUUUUCAAUCUGGAGAAGUAAAGGCUUAGGGGGAACUUCAUCAUGGUAUUUCAGUACUUAAAGGGUGGCUACAGAGAGGAUGGAGGCACUUCCUUCACAAAGGGGUAACAUGCGUAAAGCAAGGGGCACUGGGUACAAGCUGCACUGGGAGAGGCUUUGUCUUGAUAUAAGACAGGUUGUUUUUUUUUUAAUGAUAACAAUCAGUCACUGAAACAACCUCCCCAGGGACAUGGUGGAGUUCCCAUCAUUGGAGACUUUCAAGAUGCAGUUGUGCAAGAUGCUGGAUAAUCUCACCUAGGCUCCCUUUUCCCACAGAGGAUUGAACCUGAUGAUCUUUCGAGGUCCCUUCCAUCCUAGGUUGUUCUAUGAUUCUAUUCGCCAUUCAGCCUGGCAUGCAGAUGUACUGCAUUGUAUCAUCUACCAGGAGAUGUUAUCUCUUAAGCCAAGGGGCUGCUAACAGUGAUUCACACAGUAUAUUUUCCUAAAUGUCCUAUCAUCUGUUUUAUAGAGGUUUCUCAUGUUGAAUGAUGCAAGGGUUCUGAUUAUUCUUUAUUACUUUGCAUUGACUUUUGAGUAAAUUCAGUGUAAAAAAAAAAAAUGCAUUUUUAAAAAUUUAUUUAUUUGCUUACCUCAUUUGCUGCAGAACAUGUCUUACAUGAGGGUUGACCACAUCAUGGACCUUAAUGACUAUGGUGAUUAUUUUUUGUUUAGUUCAGUUGACUGUUUUGAAGUUAACAGCUUGUAGGAGCCUCUGAUCUCAGCUUUCUUAGCAAUGAAAUAGAGGUUUCUUUGUUUUACUUCCUUUGAGUGAAAUGAUUACCUCAGCCUUCGCUUUCAUGCUGGUAACUUGAAUAUGAAACAAAGGAAAUCAUGCACUCUCUUUGCUAAAGCUAUUCAUAGGAAAUAUCUUUGAUUUAAAUGUAGUAAUUAAAUAAAUAUGUAUGCUUGAAAAGGUUAAGAUCUGUUAGUAUUGUUAAACUGAAGACUCCUGUUUACCUACAGAGUAGGCAUUGUGCAAAGAGCUGAAAUAAGAGCUUCCCUUCCCUGACUCACUUUUGACCUUAACCUAGACCACUCAUGUUCAGUGUUUGUAGAGCCAAGAUGUUUUCUGUGGUCUUUUCACAGAGCUUCUCUGAUUCAGUCAUUAUUAAUCUGUUAAAGGAUAAUGAUGAGGAGCUGAUCUGAGGCUGCUACAAAAUCAACAACAUAAUCAACAAAGCAUCCAAACUGUGGGCAUGUUAUGGAAAAUUAGCUCUUUCAAGUAAAAGUUUCAGAAAACUGCAUCCUACGCCUUUUUUUCUUUUAAAUAAAAAAAUGCUUUGUAAGUUAUUUCAGUGUUUUUAAACAUUCAAGUUUUUGCAGCUAUAAAUGAAAACUGAAUUUUCCAGUCUUGCAUACAUUUAAAUUUGUUUUUUCGGUGUUCACUUGAGUAUUUCCCAUUUACUGACGUUUAAAUGUUGAUUUACAAGUAACUCUUAAUACAGAAGUGUUAUCCUUUUCCUUGUCUAGCUUCAUCUGUAUUUCAGAAUUAGAUUUCCCAUUUGACUUUUAAAAAGUUAAAUUUGUUUCCUAGUAUUCUAGCAAAUAUUUGUAAAUUUUUCCCCAUUACAAAAGUUCGUAGCUAUAUGAGCCUGAAUGCUGUUUGUUCACGAGAGGCUUGCCUGGCAUUGUCUUCAUUACUUAUCUAGGUACAGCAUUUUUAGUUGAAGGAGGUUGGCUAUAGUGUAGGUGUAUUCUGCAUUUGGAGGAAUUGUUCAGUUUGGUACAAUGGAAAAAAUAUCACCAAAGGACUGAAAGCGCAUGGUGUUAUAACUUAAUACAAACACGAAAAACAACCAAAGGUUAAAACUUAAUCUGAUCUGAAUGUUGUACAUGUACAAACUAUCAAACUAAAGUUGAGUAUUAAAUGUCAGUGCAGCCUUAAACUAACCCUUAAGGGAGGAAACAGUAGACAUAAGUGUGUUUGAUGCAAAGAAUGCACUACCAAUAACCAUGCAAACAUUUGAACUUUAUGAAGGAAACAAAGGCAGAAAAGAUAAAGGCAGUUAAAAAUGGGAAGUAGGCAUCUAAGAGAAAUGAAAAAGAACCACAUAACGUGAUAUGAUUUAUCUGUCUUAUUCUUCAUCUUGAAAGUUGUCAGUGCAAAAUACAAAAAAGUGGCUGGUCCAGGACAUCACUUUAAUCUGAAAUGUCUCUUUGAUGAAAGACUAUUUCAACACCUUCGAUUAUCCUGUUUAAAAAUCUUAGGUAGCUUCAGUGUUUGACUCUUGCCUUGUGCUAUAAUCGGUAUCAAGAAUAUAUAAUAAGACAGCUUUGUUCAUUCCAGAUUGAAUUUUCAAAUGUGUAAAAAGAGGCAUGAAAUAAAUCUGGACAAACCAUUCUCCUGGAAGCUGGUAAGUAAAUCUUCCUACUCUGUCUCCUAAAUCAUUUCUUGAAUUUAGUUUCACUUAACUAUACUUACUUUCUUAGGGAGUAUAAUGGCUCUCAAAAUGUUUUCCCAAGACUACAGUUUAAAGAUACAAAGCAUUUGGCAGCAGUGCUCCCGCUAUAAUUGUUCUUGACUACUCAGUCCCCAGUAGUGGUAUAUAAUACCUCUCAGUUUGAGGAUUUGAUCUGGUUUUAAAAGCCUUAAAAAAAAAAAAAAAAAAAAAGGCAGGGGGAUGGCAAAGAUGCAAAAGGAAAUGGCCAGAUGUGAGAGGGUGGGAAAGGGAACACGUGUGAAUUACUGAAACUGAUGUCCUCACUGAGGAAAAUGCCUGUGCAGCCAUGCAUGUUUGUAACACUAUGACAAGAAUUGCAUACUUACUGCACUUAGGAACAUCCUAAGGUUUUUUUGGUUUUUUUUUUUUUGGAAUAAUCAAGGCAGGUCUAAUUUACAUAGGAAAGACUGUGUAUCAGUUGUAUUGAGUAUUCCAGUUUGUUAUUCACAGAACUUUUUGCACUAUUUAGGCUUGACAUGGCUUACUCUAGGAGUAUUGCUUUAUUUAGACUUGACACUUUAUAGAGGUUAGCAUUUUUUUGAGGCUGCUGGUAGCAUAUUAUCUAUUUUUCAGACCUAGCCUAGUGCCCUCACUGCCGGUGGCAAUGAAACAAAGUUGCUUAGGCAUGUGGGCAUCACUGCUACAAGAUUGCAAAGUACAGAAAAAUUUCAUUCCAUGUACAGUAUAGAACUUCUCAUUGAUGAAUAUAGCUUGGAAUUCAGCCCAUGCUCUUUGUGAAAGUUUUUCUGAGGAGUCCUGCAAAAGUAAACAUGAAACAAAGUUCUUACAAAUUUCAUUCAGGUACCUAAAUAGGUGUUUUUUGUUCGUUUGUCCUUCAUAGUCCAUUACUACUUACUUCUUCUGUAAGAUCAAUUUUUAUAUAUUGAUUUGGUAACCUGAUUGGACAGUUGGGUUAGAGGGAGCCAACAGAAUGCUAUACUGACAAAGUGAGAAAAGGAGAAAGAAAGAUCUUUGUUAGUAUGAGAACUAAAUUCAGCAAUAUCUCAAUUUGAAGUUCUAGCUGGAAGAUGUUGGUGCAAUUCCUGGUACUACUAUGACAAAUCUGCUUAAUAUUAACAGGUUCUUAAAAGCAUACAACUUAGACAGAGUUAAUAUUUUUUUCUUCUCAUAGAGAACUUGUCCAGUGCUAAUGCUUAGCUUUCACAAGAAAGCUGAAUUUUCAAACAUAGGGCAGGGGAGUGAGAGUGAGAAAGGAAGAGGAAACAGAUUUCAUGGUAUAGAAUAGGGAAAUUGUAGGAACAAAGAGUCCAUAAAAAUAUAGUAAAUGGUAGAGUGGAUAGAUGGAAAAAAGAAUCAAUAAAAACCUGUAUGCGUAAGAAAUGUCUGUAAAUUCAGUAAAAGUUUUUACAUUAGCAAAUGAUUUAGAAGUCCAAGGCAAAAAUGCUGGUACAAUAUAUUGACUUUAGCCAGUGAAGCGCUUGCUUUAAUCAUGUUUAAAAAAAACAAAAAACAAAAAAACAAUAAAAGUCUAGGAGAGAAUUCUGGCCCUGUCUCACCCACAAAAAACAUCAGCUUUUGUCAUGCAUGGGUACUGUAUAGUGUCAACAGCUGAAUAUUCCUUCUUGAAUUCUUUCUCAUCAUCAAGAAUCAAAGGCCAUCAGAAAGGCAGAAAAUCAAGCACAUAAAAGUGCACUUCAUGCUUCCUAUUUAUGACUCAGUGUCUGAAUCUUAAGAGUUCGUUACAUGGCUAUUGCAAAGAACACAUCAAAGGAGUAAAACUCACAUAUCUUGAACCAUUUACAAUGCAGGCAAGUUUCUGGUGUUAUUUUUCAUUGUUUGUCAUCUAAAUGAGAUGUAGUGAUUUCACUGCUUUCAUGUGGAUCAAGUGCCUCAUGCAUUUUAGUGGAAAGAGGAGACUGUUAGGCUGGAGUUCUGAUAUCCAGUAGGAGAAAGAAGUGUUAAAAUAUAAAAGCAAAAAAUGAAAUGUUGAGGCUUAAGUGUAGAUUUACUCUGAUUGUUCAGAAGAGGGAAACCAAUACUGAAAGAUGGACCAAUGAAAUGGUUAUUUACAGAAUAAUUUGUAGUGGUAUUCUGAGUUCUUGAUAAAAAUUUUUUUAAUUUGUUUUAAUUGGCUAAAAGAGAACAUGAGAUGCAAGUUUCCUUGUAUUUCUUGCUGGUCACGUUAGUCUGCUCGUCCUAUCAGAUACCAAUGCACAUGCAUUCUCUUCUCUUUGUAUUCAUGCUGCCUUAGAGCAAUAUCUCAGUAUGUUUUAAAGCACCUUCUUUCUAAUAGAACAAAUGCAUGCGAGAGCUGAGAUUGAUUUUGUAAUCAGGCCUCACUUAGGAUUUCAGUGCUGUUUAGUAGUAAUGCAUUCCACCUGAUUAGCGGGUAGGCAUACAGAGACACAAUUUCUGUUAUCGUUUCUUUCAAGUCAUUUCAGGAACUGUAAAACAAAUUCUGUACAAAGUCAGUUGUUUUGCUUCUGAUGUAAACUCAGAGUGGGAGUAUCGAGGGAAGUUUCUAUAUAAAAUCUCAAAUCAGAAGAUCAAAGUAUACAAUCUGUUUGAAGAAAUGGCAGUUCCACAUCAUCUAGAAUAAAUUGGAGAGAGAAAUGAAAAAAAAAAUGUUCUUUGAGUUGCUUCAGCCUGUGAGAAUGUAAAAGCGUGAGAAUACAGGUGCAAAAGGAAUUGUAUCUCAUCAAAUGCAAGAACAGUUACCACUGAAACUUCCUCUGUUCCAAGUGAAAUUUAGUAUUAAAUAUAAAAUAACACUUCCUGAAAAAGAACUAAUGGGGAACACAAUAUGCUGCUUUUCUUGGCUGACAGAGCAGAAAAGAACCUUAAAGGGCUUAUUCUUGUUGUGGUUUUUGUUUUUUUUUCCUUGAAAGCUAAACCAGGAGAAGAAAGGGAUUAAUGUUGAAUAUAUUGAUUCAGGUAUCUUGUGACCAGUGAAUACAGCCCAAUGUAUAGAACAGUAUACCUUUUUUUGCUUAUCUUGCGCAAAAAGUUUAAUAUUUGCUCUCUUAUUUCCUUAAUAAGGGUGAGCUUUACAGCUUUAAAAGUUUCCAAAUGAAGUAAUGUAUUGGGACUCCGUAUUGUGUAGUCAUUAGUUAUAACCAGUACUCACGUUGGACUCUGACUGCACUGUGCUGAUGCAGUCAGAUUAGAGUACCGGGUGGGAGGAUCUUUUUUCAGUGGGAGAAAGGAGAAUGAACUACUCUAAUGCACCCAUACGGUGGAGUGCUGAGUACAACAAACAAGUAACCAUCCUUUGAAGCUUUCUUGUUUCCAGUGAUUAAAAUCCCUGCUUAAAUUCUGAUGCUAUACUUACCAAGAAGGCCACCGACUUUAAACAAUUAUUUUCUAAUCUACAAUACUUCCAUCUUUCUCACUCAUCCAAAGACAUUCCAUUUCCAACACAACAUUUUAGAAAGGACAAUUCUAGCGAUAAGGCAUGCUUUCUUAUGGAGACACACUAUGCUGUUUAGAAAAUCAACAAACAGAACAGUCUUAAACAAUUUGUAAUGCUAUGUUACUGCUAUCUGAUGGUUUCUCAUCAAUUUAUUGUGACUGCUAAGGUUACCAAUUGACUGCUAAACAUAUAAUUUGUGGAGGAGAAAGUUU